Molecule: ribosomal RNA, 187 nt
Filed under: uncultured bacterium
Lineage: Bacteria
Description: partial 16S ribosomal RNA
Rfam family: Bacterial small subunit ribosomal RNA
Source: RNAcentral
UGCAACUCGACUCCAUGAAGCUGGAUUCGCUAGUAAUCGCGCAUCAGCCAUGGCGCGGUGAAUACGUUCCCGGGCCUUGUACACACCGCCCGUCAAGCUAUGGAAGCCGGGAGUGCCUGAAGUGUGCAACCGCAAGGAGCGCCCUAAGGUAAAACUGGUGACUGGGGCUAAGUCGUAACAAGGUAUC